GACGAACGCUGGCGGCGUGCUUAACACAUGCAAGUCGAACGGUAAGGCCCUUCGGGGUACACGAGUGGCGAACGGGUGAGUAACACGUGGGUGAUCUGCCCUGCACUUCGGGAUGAGCCUGGGAAACUGGGUCUAAUACCGGAUAGGACUCCGGACUGCAUGGUCUGGGGUGGAAAGCUUUUGCGGUGUGGGAUGGGCCCGCGGCCUAUCAGCUUGCUGGUGGGGUGAUGGCCUACCAAGGCGACGACGGGUAGCCGGCCUGAGAGGGUGACCGGCCACACUGGGACUGAGAGACGGACCAGACUCCUACGGGAGGCAGCAGUGGGGAAUAUGCACAAUGGGCGCAAGCCUGAUGCAGCGACGCCGCGUGAGGGAUGACGGCCUUCGGGUUGUAAACCUCUUUCAGCAUCGACGAAGCGAAAGUGACGGUAGGUGCAGAAGAAGGACCGGCCAACUACGUGCCAGCCGCCGCCGUAA
Molecule: ribosomal RNA, 477 nt
Filed under: uncultured bacterium
Lineage: Bacteria
Description: partial 16S ribosomal RNA
Rfam family: Bacterial small subunit ribosomal RNA
Source: RNAcentral